AACGAACGCUGGCGGCAGGCUUAACACAUGCAAGUCGAGCGCCCCGCAAGGGGAGCGGCCGCCGGGUGAGUACCGCGUGGGAACGUACCUUUUGGUUCGGAACAACUCCGGGAAACUGGAGCUAAUACCGGAUAAGCCCUAACGGGGAAAGAUUUAUCGCCGAAAGAUCGGCCCGCGUCUGAUUAGCUAGUUGGUGAGGUAACGGCUCACCAAGGCGACGAUCAGUAGCUGGUCUGAGAGGAUGAUCAGCCACACUGGGACUGAGACACGGCCCAGACUCCUACGGGAGGCAGCAGUGGGGAAUAUUGGACAAUGGGCGCAAGCCUGAUCCAGCCAUGCCGCGUGAGUGAUGAAGGCCUUAGGGUUGUAAAGCUCUUUUGUCCGGGAAGAUAAUGACUGUACCGGAAGAAUAAGCCCCGGCUAACUUCGUG
Molecule: ribosomal RNA, 431 nt
Filed under: uncultured bacterium
Lineage: Bacteria
Description: partial 16S ribosomal RNA
Rfam family: Bacterial small subunit ribosomal RNA
Source: RNAcentral